CCCGCACAAGCGGUGGAGCAUGUGGUUUAAUUCGAUGCAACGCGAAGAACCUUACCUGGGCUUGACAUCCCGGGAAUCCCUUGGAAACAAGGGAGUGCCCUUCGGGGAACCUGGAGACAGGUGCUGCAUGGCUGUCGUCAGCUCGUGUCGUGAGAUGUAGGGUUAAGUCCCGCAACGAGCGCAACCCUUGUCUUUAAUUGCCAUCAUUGAGUUGGGCACUUUAAAGAGACUGCCGGUGUUAAACCGGAGGAAGGUGGGGAUGACGUCAAAUCAUCAUGCCCCUUAUGACCUGGGCUACACACGUGCUACAAUGGUUGGUACAACGAGUUGCGAGUCGGUGACGGCGAGCUAAUCUCUUAAAGCCAAUCUCAGUUCGGAUUGUAGGCUGCAACUCGCCUACAUGAAGUCGGAAUCGCUAGUAAUCGCGGAUCAGCACGCCGCGGUGAAUACGUUCCCGGGCCUU
RNAcentral lists this ribosomal RNA (463 nucleotides) under uncultured Lactobacillus sp. Its description in RNAcentral is "bacterial SSU rRNA". It matches the Rfam family "Bacterial small subunit ribosomal RNA", at positions 920 to 1382 of the family's 1533-position model. Lineage: Bacteria; Bacillati; Bacillota; Bacilli; Lactobacillales; Lactobacillaceae. The record is from RNAcentral.